This 420-nucleotide ribosomal RNA is filed under the name Acinetobacter sp. ML21. RNAcentral describes it as "bacterial SSU rRNA". It matches the Rfam family "Bacterial small subunit ribosomal RNA", at positions 30 to 450 of the family's 1533-position model. The record is from RNAcentral. Lineage: Bacteria; Pseudomonadati; Pseudomonadota; Gammaproteobacteria; Moraxellales; Moraxellaceae.
AUUGAACGCUGGCGGCAGGCUUAACACAUGCAAGUCGAGCGGAGUGAUGGUGCUUGCACUAUCACUUAGCGGCGGACGGGUGAGUAAUGCUUAGGAAUCUGCCAUUUAGUGGGGGACAACAUUCCGAAAGGAAUGCUAAUACCGCAUACGUCCUACGGGAGAAAGCAGGGGAUCUUCGGACCUUGCGCUAAAUGAUGAGCCUAAGUCGGAUUAGCUAGUUGGUGGGGUAAAGGCCUACCAAGGCGACGAUCUGUAGCGGGUCUGAGAGGAUGAUCCGCCACACUGGGACUGAGACACGGCCCAGACUCCUACGGGAGGCAGCAGUGGGGAAUAUUGGACAAUGGGCGGAAGCCUGAUCCAGCCAUGCCGCGUGUGUGAAGAAGGCCUUUUGGUUGUAAAGCACUUUAAGCGAGGAGGAGG